AAAAAAAAUACGGAAGAGAGAGAGAGAAUUGAGCGCGCCGCAUCGCAGAGAAGGAGAAGAAGACUUGCCUGGCGGUAACGGCAGGUGGACCAUCGAACUGCGGGAAAGCAGACGCAGGGCGAGUCUGGUGCAGAAUCUGAUGGAUCCCAAUGAUUGGAGAGUUCACUUGCAGCGUGAUUCACGCGAAAGAAUUGUCAACGAGAUAAUAGGGACACUAAAGAGGCAUCUGC
This 230-nucleotide unclassified non-coding RNA is filed under the name Hevea brasiliensis (rubber tree). The record is from RNAcentral. Lineage: Eukaryota; Viridiplantae; Streptophyta; Magnoliopsida; Malpighiales; Euphorbiaceae.